CCUACGGGAGGCAGCAGUGGGGAAUCUUGCACAAUGGGCGCAAGCCUGAUGCAGCAACGCCGCGUGAGUGAAGAAGGAUUUCGGUUCGUAAAGCUCUGUCAUCAGGGAAGAAAAUGACGGUACCUGACUAAGAAGCCCCGGCUAACUACGUGCCAGCAGCCGCGGUAAUACGGAGGGGGCAAGCGUUAUCCGGAAUUACUGGGUGGAAAGGGAGCGUAGGCGGUUGUCUAUGUCUGAAGUGAAAGCCCUAGGCUUAACCGUUGGAGUGCGUUGGAAACUGGGAGACUGGAGUGCAGGAGAGGAAAGUGGAAUUCCUAGUGUAGCGGUGGAAUGCGUAGAUAUAAGGAGGAACACCAGUGGCGAAGGCGGCUGUCUGGACUGUAACUGACGCUGAGGCUCGAAAGCGUGGGGAGCAAACAGGAUUAGAUACCCUUGUAGUC
RNAcentral lists this ribosomal RNA (440 nucleotides) under uncultured bacterium. RNAcentral's name for it is "partial 16S ribosomal RNA". It matches the Rfam family "Bacterial small subunit ribosomal RNA", at positions 338 to 795 of the family's 1533-position model. The record is from RNAcentral.